UGGAGGAGUUUCCAUUUGUUGCGGCGGUCUCUAAUUCGCUUGGUGCAGGUCGGGAACUGACUCACCGGUGACGCUGUCCGCGCCGGAAUCGGUGGCGUUAGUUUCGUUGAUAUUUUGUUUGCAUUUAUCGAUAUUUAGAGAGCUCUCUUUAGGACUUAUUUGUUAGUAAUUUGUUUUGUUGAAAUUAACUUGAUGUAUGUGUAGAUAAGUAGAGAGUGUUUACCCCCGGUUGGUUAAGUAAUAGAUAUGAAGAGAGUUCAUUUUUUUUUUGUUUUUAAUAAAUUAGUUAUGUAUGAAAGUGCGCCUCGUCUAUGGCUUAAGUUUGUUCCCGCCUUGCAUCAACUGAAUCGGUGACCGCGGUGAAUUUGAUUAUGUUUGGAUCGAUCUAUUCUCUCGCUACAUGAGGUUUGUUUUUCAUUCAUUUUGAUUCAAAUAUUUGCAUAUAUUUUUAUCUGUAUCGUGUGCGUGUGUUUGUUUUUUCACUCUUCUCUCUUUAUUUUUUUUAAUAUUUCUGUUGUGUAACUGAUUGGAUUUAUCUGGAUCUAGCUGUAUCUAUUGCUGUGUGCAGGCUCGUGAUCCCAGCUGUGUUUAUUUGUCCUUCGGAUGAUCGAAGAGUUUGGCUGUGCUUGUAUAAUAAAUGUGCAAUUUUUUUUCUUCUUCCGUUUUAAUGCAAUUUUUGAAUUGAUGAAAUUUCAUUAAAAAUAAGAGUUGCGGGGAACAGACAUAAUGAUUUAAAAAUCCUCCUGUUGAGAUUGCCACCAUGGAUUAAUCGUGCAAUUUUGAUGUGUAAGAGGAGGUUGUGCUUCAAUAGCGAAUGUUCAAAGUGAACAAUUUUAGUCAUGUUGACGAAUCAUAGAUUUGAGUUAUGGAUUAAUGUUGGAAUAUCACGUGUUUUCAAAUGAAGAAAAGUGACUCUUGAAUUGUCAUUGACGAAUUAGAGAAUUUCUAUUUUUAUUUAUAUUUAUCUGGAUUUAAGAGAUACUAGUGCUGAAUGAUGGAUAUUUAAGUUUGAAAUUUUGUAUUUUCUUUAUGCCAUUGAUAAAUCGUAAAUUGGAGUUUGAACACCAUAAGUUUUCUUGUUCCAUCUGUUUCAAAUGACACCUGACACAGCAUUAAUGUAGCUUCUGGCCUAUUAAUACAGUAAUCUAGAUAAGAUAUGAAAUGUAGACCCAGAAGGUAAAUUAUGUUGUGGUCGAAUGUGCAGUCUGCACCGUAACUACAAACGAAUUCAAAUUGAUGGUGCAUUUUUUAGUUAACAUUGCACACACAAUUUUUUGGAUGCUUUAAUGGCAUUAACUGCCUCCAUCUACGCCUUGUCAUCACCUUCUUUGGUUAAGUUCACAGAGGGAAAUAUAAUUUGACAAUUUCUCCAAGUCUUAGUUAAUGUUUUAUAUGAGAGUUUGUCAUUCUAAUUUUAGUUGAAAUUCAGUAUUUGCUGUUGUGUUUGAAGGGUCUUAAUAACCCAAUAUCGAUUUGAGGGCUGAGGGACAAUUGAAGAGCUUCCAACUGCUCGUUCAUUUGUUUUGUGCUCAUUUAAGUUUGUUUACAUAGUAACCUAAUAAAAUAAAAAUUGCAUUCUUAUCACAAGUGAGAAGUUUUAUAUGUGAGGACAGCCUGUCAGGUGUGUUUGAUUGAUGUAAUAGUCAUAUUGAGGAAUUCAUGUUGGGGUUUUCAACGCCAUUUACUCAAUCGAGUUGAGGAGAAAGAUAAUUUGGAGGUGCCAGAGUUUAGAGUAAUCCAUGGAGGCAGGAACAACAAAUAUGAGUUGCUUAGUGUUUGAGAGAAACUAGUGUUUGUAACGUACUGGCCUACAAGUUUUCAGUUGGAGAGUUUUGGGUACAUAUUCUUUUACAGUGGGUUAGUUGGUGUCUCUUAACCAAUGGUUAGUGUCUUGAAGUUGAAUCCAGCAAAUUUAUAUAUGCCAAUUUAGUAAUUUACCAAUUUGUGUUUAUUUGUUCUAUGUUGCAUCCUCAAUUGCCAAAGCAUCCGUCUUAACUACUAAUAGAAUAGAUGAAUUAUAUCAAAUAUAUACUCUUGGUAAUCUCAUGAUUAAGGGAUGAUCUAAAUUUUUCGUUUUGUCCUCAUGCUUCUUUUUUCUGUUUGUAAACGUCAUUUAUGUUCGUCACUCGUCAAAACUAAUAUGAAGCUUGACAUGUUUAAGGUAAUGUAGUAGGAUAACUAAGCUGCAGGCUGUAACAUAUUGGUAUCAGCUGCCUUCUUGUUAUGGGUAGAACUAGAACCUGUAGAGGGAAUAGACGGCGUGGUUGACAGCAAGAUUCCAGGAUGCAAAACAUCUCUGGCAGAACACAGUGUUUUGGGCUAGGUUUUUAUCGUAAAGUUUGUGUUACAGAAUACACAAAGAAGAUAUCAGAUGCAACUAGCCUCUACCUUUGCCAAAGGUAGAUUGAUUUUUAUUUUCUCAGUGUAUUGGAAGUCAAGUAAAAAAGACUUGUCUUAUGAUCCAUGGAAAUAAAAAUGCUGGUGCCUGGCAAUUUCUUAUUUGUUAUUUUCUUUAUGAAUCGGGUACUACAAUAAUGAGUUUACGUUGGUGAUUUGAUUGGAAGUCUUUGAUGCUUCUUUGGUUUUAUGAUGUUGCCUGUAUUCUUAGAAAUUUGCUAGUUAGAUUCCCCUAGUAAAGGGUGUUCCAGGAAUGCAGAGACUUUUCAGCAUCUCCAUUUUCAUUUUAAAAAUUUAGCUCAUGUAACCCAUGGAAACAUGGGUUAGCAGUGAAUUGUAGAACACUCGUGUAUCUUUUGUUGGAAAACAGCACUUCAAUGUAAGAACACAUCCAGCCUCUCCUUUAUCGCCUGUUCAGCUUACUCUACCUCUUAGUCUCGUUUUCUCACCAACUUGUGCCAUCCUAAGACCUAAGGUUUCUUUCCUCUUUUUGCCAAAUGGCACUAGACUUUUCUUUACUUCACAUAACCUGAACAAAAUUUCUACUUCCUUAUCCUCCCCCACUACACCCGGCUUAAUGUCCCUGUUUUCAAAUAGUGGCUCCCGCUAAACUAGCUGUUACUUAUUUCUUACUAAUUCCCUGGUUUCUCAACCUGCAUCAAUGCCUCUGUUUAGUGACUAAACCAGCUGUCACAACAAGCUCUUUUGCCUCUAUUCUAUCUCCUUCAUCAUUAAGGUGGUAUUACGUGUACAAAUUAAUGUAGUAGCUUUUUGUCUUGUGUGGCAUGGGAGGAAGUUGCAGCCCGUACACCUUCAUAUUUUUCCAAUUGUCAAUAUUUUUACCAUCUAUAUUACUUUUGCUAGUCAUGGUGCUUAAAAAUGCUGCCCAGAAUGUUGUAAUCUGUUAUAUUCUGAUCGGUACUGGGAUGAUGUUUUCAUAUUGAGCAUUGUCCUUGUAUUGGGUGUGAAGUUAGAAGUCUAGCAACGAUAACCGAUAGCAAAUAAAAUGUUGAAGGAUCUUUGGGCAGAAGACAAAGCAUGACAUGAGAAGUGUGCAUGGCUUUAUAAUAGUGGAUUGCAAUGUGCAGCAAGGGAAGGGAUUUUGUUGCAUGCCGUUUCAUGUGUAGUUAUAGCCAGCUGUGGUGUAUUAGUUACUUACUAAAUACUUAGUAAUUAAUUGUAGUUAGCUUUUAUGAAUGUAUUGCAUGAGGUGUGGUUGUUUGUAGCCCUAUAAAACAACCCGUUUCAGUUCCCAUUAUAGGCAUAUUUGGCAAUACUAUCUUUCUACCUUCCAUUUUCAUUCUUGGAUAGCUAAUAAUCCCCGAGUUAAUCCCUACAAUUUCCUUCUUGAGCACUGCUGUUUGUGGAUGAUUCAUUAUACCGGCAUCAUCUGUUAUCAGAGCAAGAAUUUACUUGGCCAUAAUUUAUGGUGAAAACAAACAAAAAUUACAGAUAAGGCAGCCAUGGAAAUGAAGACAUUCAAGGAGCUGCAGAGAGAUUCUUCAAUGAACUGAAGUCAAGGCAAGAUAAAUUGGUGGGAUCCGCAAAGGUGAUGGACAAAGGAAAGGAUAACAUUGGGCAUGCCUGCCCCUGGUACCAACCUAUGAAUGGGUUCAAUUCAAAUACCAAACCUCACUUCGCCUCGAAUUUCCUAAAUUCUCAGGAACCGACCUCAAUUCCUGGUUAUACAAGGUAGACCAAAUUUUCUUUGAUUGAUGACUGUCAUCUUUGUUUCAAAAGCAAAUGUAGUUACACUACUUUUAUGGAGAUUCCAUCCAGCAGCAUCAAGCUUACUGUUGUGGGAAAAUGCAUCUUUACGUGAGAGGUUUAUGUCCUGGCUCUUGUUGAAAGGUUAGAGUUAAACAGGAGGAUCACAUGGCUGAGCUCAAACAGCUCAAGCAGACACA
RNAcentral lists this long non-coding RNA (4304 nucleotides) under Nicotiana tabacum (common tobacco). RNAcentral's name for it is "long non-coding RNA (NTAB_LNC008389)". The stretch from base 18 to 365 matches the Rfam family "MIR168 microRNA precursor family". The record is from RNAcentral. Lineage: Eukaryota; Viridiplantae; Streptophyta; Magnoliopsida; Solanales; Solanaceae.